CCUACGGGCGGCUGCAGUGGGGAAUAUUGGACAAUGGGCGAAAGCCUGAUCCAGCCAUGCCGCGUGUGUGAAGAAGGCCUUCGGGUUGUAAAGCACUUUCAGUGGGGAAGAAAGCCUUGGGGCUAAUACCCUCGAGGAAGGACAUCACCCACAGAAGAAGCACCGACUAACUCCGUGCCAGCAGCCGCGGUAAUACGGAGGGUGCGAGCGUUAAUCGGAAUUACUGGGCGUAAAGCGCGCGUAGGCGGUCUGAUAAGCCGGUUGUGAAAGCCCCGGGCUCAACCUGGGAACGGCAUCCGGAACUGUCAGGCUAGAGUGCAGGAGAGGAAGGUAGAAUUCCCGGUGUAGCGGUGAAAUGCGUAGAGAUCGGGAGGAAUACCAGUGGCGAAGGCGGCCUUCUGGACUGACACUGACGCUGAGGUGCGAAAGCGUGGGUAGCAAACAGGAUUAGAUACCCCAGUAGUC
This 465-nucleotide ribosomal RNA is filed under the name Vreelandella stevensii. RNAcentral's name for it is "partial 16S ribosomal RNA". It matches the Rfam family "Bacterial small subunit ribosomal RNA", at positions 338 to 795 of the family's 1533-position model. Lineage: Bacteria; Pseudomonadati; Pseudomonadota; Gammaproteobacteria; Oceanospirillales; Halomonadaceae. The record is from RNAcentral.